This 483-nucleotide ribosomal RNA is filed under the name uncultured bacterium. Its description in RNAcentral is "partial 16S ribosomal RNA". It matches the Rfam family "Bacterial small subunit ribosomal RNA", at positions 30 to 507 of the family's 1533-position model. The record is from RNAcentral.
AUUGAACGCUGGCGGCAGGCCUAACACAUGCAAGUCGAGCGGAUGAAGGGAGCUUGCUCCUGGAUUCAGCGGCGGACGGGUGAGUAAUGCCUAGGAAUCUGCCUGGUAGUGGGGGAUAACGUCCGGAAACGGGCGCUAAUACCGCAUACGUCCUGAGGGAGAAAGUGGGGGAUCUUCGGACCUCACGCUAUCAGAUGAGCCUAGGUCGGAUUAGCUAGUUGGUGGGGUAAAGGCCUACCAAGGCGACGAUCCGUAACUGGUCUGAGAGGAUGAUCAGUCACACUGGAACUGAGACACGGUCCAGACUCCUACGGGAGGCAGCAGUGGGGAAUAUUGGACAAUGGGCGAAAGCCUGAUCCAGCCAUGCCGCGUGUGUGAAGAAGGUCUUCGGAUUGUAAAGCACUUUAAGUUGGGAGGAAGGGCAGUAAGUUAAUACCUUGCUGUUUUGACGUUCCAACAGAAUAAGCACCGGCUAACUUCGUG